This is a long non-coding RNA of Leopardus geoffroyi (Geoffroy's cat), 1399 nucleotides long. RefSeq lists it as uncharacterized. The record is from RefSeq and is a predicted model, not a curated record. NCBI's taxonomy places the organism in Eukaryota, Metazoa, Chordata, Mammalia, Carnivora, Felidae. The transcript has 5 exons.
GCUAAGGCGGUACCAGCCCGCAAGCUACCCCUCUUCCCAUUGGGUCUGCAAUUAACCAAGGGUGGCCGGGCGUGAGAGGUCCCCGCCCCCUGCUGGCUCCUGACUCUGUUUUAAACCAGCUUUCCUUUUAUUAAUUUUCUUCGGGGUCAAUGAGAGAGAGGCCUUGCCGAGAGGGGUGUAAUUCUCUACCCGCUAAACGGAAGAGGAGCUGACCACCACCAGGUUAAGAAAAAAUACACAUGUAUUACAAGAUGGGUGCCGUCAUGAUUGAAGAGUUUACAUCCAAAGUGGUUCUGAUCGGCUGAUUGUUUCUCCUUCUGCUGCCCAGGUGGUAGACAUGACCCACAAUCAGGAUUCUCGAAGGCGAUGGAGAUAAAAGGAAAAUCUGCCCUCUCAGAGGAUAAUCAUAUAAAUGAAGAAAGAGUUAUAUCAGAGGUGGUGGACAUUUGGAUUAUUUCCAGUUUGGGGCUAUUGUGAAUAAAGCUACCAUGAACAUCUGAGUAAAUCUUUGAGUGGACAGAUAUUUUCAUCACAUCUCUUGGGUAAAUAUCUAGCAUUGAGAUCGUUGGGAUGUAUGCAAAGGAAUAAUGAAGAAUGUCAAGAAUACACCAUAACCUUUGCAGAGGCUAACAAAAUGUCACACCAGUUUGGCACAUAUCUACAGAGCUAAUUACAGUUCUCUAAAGCAGAAGGGAUCCUUAACGGACUCAAAGGCCGUGAAAUCAGAAGCAUGGCAUGUUUAGAGCAAUGCAAGAGCCUCCAUUAUACACUAAUUCAAUCUCUUCACUUUACAGGAGCAAAGCAGUGCGGAUCUCUCUUUCUGCCCUAAGGAGACUCUACCUCGAUGCUGCUGGUGUGUGUCUUGUCCUCUCCCUGCUGGAGCCCCGCUAAGUCAUGGAGAACACUUACUGUUCCUGCCUGGGAAUCCCAGCUGCCCAGUCUUCCCUGACCGGACACCCGAUGUACUAUAAGGGGGCCAUAGGGUUUCAUCUCCAUGGAGUCAGGCUGUAACUGUGCCGGACUUUAUCCUCUUACACCCCAGGGAAAGCCUCCCAGACUAGGCCUUCAAAAGGAGGGAGUCUGAUAUAAAUGCCCCCUCUCUCUGUCCUUCUUCAACCUCUCUCUAGCUAAUGUAGUCUGUCUUUGAAGCCCCCAGUUGGGUGCCCCCAUGCCCACCCAUCCCUCAGGAAAACCCUGCCCUCCCCGUAGGAGGACGUUCCUCCCCUCGGACUUUUGUAGGGACUUGCAAACUUGAGCACCCGAGAGGCUGUGCUUUGCUUAGUCGCAGCUGACCCUGGGAGGGCAAGGAUCAUCCCCAGUGUUUGAUGUCUUUGGCAUCCUUAGAAAUGUCCCUAAAAAGCAAUGCACACCUCUCUAAGGUGUGAAACAGGGUGCUGUC